Molecule: small nucleolar RNA, 207 nt
Organism: Echinops telfairi (small Madagascar hedgehog)
Lineage: Eukaryota; Metazoa; Chordata; Mammalia; Afrosoricida; Tenrecidae
Gene: SNORA73
Rfam family: Small nucleolar RNA SNORA73 family
About the family: U17 (SNORA73A and SNORA73B) also known as E1 belongs to the H/ACA class of small nucleolar RNAs (snoRNAs).
Source: Ensembl
CCAACGUGGAUACUCCCGAGUGAUCACUCUCCCCGGGCUCUGUCCAGGUGGCAUAGAGGAGCACAGGGCUCAGUGCCCCAUGAUGUACAGUCCUUUGCCACAACGUUGGAGAUCAAGCCAGGCCUUGAGUCUGCACCUGCAUAUUCCUACAGCUUUUCAGAGUCCCGUGGACAGUGACUGAGGAGACAAACCAUGCAGGGAACAGGU